This 527-nucleotide long non-coding RNA is filed under the name Homo sapiens (human). RNAcentral's name for it is "non-protein coding lnc-TBX3-5:1". The record is from RNAcentral. Lineage: Eukaryota; Metazoa; Chordata; Mammalia; Primates; Hominidae.
UACGGCGGCCUCCCUGCCUAAUACGAGCCUCCUGGGGCCGAGUCUGGGAGGUCAGUCAUAAUUGGCGGAAGUUUGCAGACCAUUAGCAAGAUGUCGACAUUUUCGAUUCGAACCCCGCAAACUUUCCUCUCGUUCUCUGCUUCGCGCGCUGGAGAGACAGAGAGGACGCCAGAGAAAGACAGACUGAAAGGGAAAGAAAGGGGCGAGAUGGCGAGCCAGACGGAGUUCGCAGAACCACACUAUUCUCUCUGGUGACUUCAGGGAAUUCUCAACGCUGGCGCCAAGCUCUCUUAACCAUGUGCGUCAAAAAUGCGAGGCUGGAGAAGCCUGUCGCCUCAAAAGAUCCUCCCCUAUCUCAGCGUGGUUGGCCCACAAGAGCACUUCAUUUUCACCCUUCCCUUGGUGCCACGUUGGGGUUUCGGGGUUGCUGGGGGUUGCGCGGGUGCACAAGGCAAAAUGCGAGAGAGGCCUGUGCUGGCCUACAGAGACACACACAUCCAAAGCCCUGAGUCUCUUAAACCCCUAAG